This 69-nucleotide transfer RNA is filed under the name Camelus bactrianus (Bactrian camel). It matches the Rfam family "tRNA". Rfam says of the family: Transfer RNA (tRNA) molecules are approximately 80 nucleotides in length. Their secondary structure includes four short double-helical elements and three loops (D, anti-codon, and T loops). RNAcentral also lists the same sequence under 1 other name. Lineage: Eukaryota; Metazoa; Chordata; Mammalia; Artiodactyla; Camelidae. The record is from Rfam by way of RNAcentral.
GGCAUAGCUCAGUGGUAGAGUACGUGCUUAGCAUGCACGAGGUCCUGGGUUCAAUCCGCAGUACUGCCA